GAGACAGCCUUAUGGGGCAGGACUUGCUUCAGUGGGGCUUUGGUGCUCACUGAGUCUGCCCCUUGAGUGUGUCGCU
This 76-nucleotide microRNA precursor is filed under the name Myotis brandtii (Brandt's bat). RNAcentral describes it as "mir-9229 microRNA precursor family". It matches the Rfam family "mir-9229 microRNA precursor family". The record is from Rfam by way of RNAcentral. Lineage: Eukaryota; Metazoa; Chordata; Mammalia; Chiroptera; Vespertilionidae.